This is a long non-coding RNA of Leopardus geoffroyi (Geoffroy's cat), 242 nucleotides long. RefSeq lists it as uncharacterized. The transcript has 2 exons. The record is from RefSeq and is a predicted model, not a curated record. NCBI's taxonomy places the organism in Eukaryota, Metazoa, Chordata, Mammalia, Carnivora, Felidae.
AUCAAAACAGCAAUAACCACCACAAAUGCAGGAGCCCGAAGGGCUUGGUGUUCGUGCUGUGACCCCGUGAGAGGCAUCAUCUUUAAGACACUCUUUACAAGGACUGGAGACAUAUCAGAGAGAGGCUGUCCCAUCAGCCUGGAUCCUGGAGUAGACAAAUGUGGAGCGGAGCCCCAGCCAACCUGUGAAGGCCAUGCAACAUGUAAUGGGAGCAAGAGAUAGACCUUUGCUAUUAUAAGCCA